This 497-nucleotide ribosomal RNA is filed under the name uncultured bacterium. Its description in RNAcentral is "partial 16S ribosomal RNA". It matches the Rfam family "Bacterial small subunit ribosomal RNA", at positions 28 to 507 of the family's 1533-position model. The record is from RNAcentral.
GAUGAACGCUGGCGGCGUGCCUAAUGCGUGCAAGUCGAGCGAACAGACGAGGAGCUUGCUCCUCUGACGUUAGCGGCGGACGGGUGAGUAACACGUGGAUAACCUACCUAUAAGACUGGGAUAACUUCGGGAAACCGGAGCUAAUACCGGAUAAUAUAUUGAACCGCAUGGUUCAAUAGUGAAAGACGGUUUUGCUGUCACUUAUAGAUGGAUCCGCGCCGCAUUAGCUAGUUGGUAAGGUAACGGCUUACCAAGGCAACGAUGCGUAGCCGACCUGAGAGGGUGAUCGGCCACACUGGAACUGAGACACGGUCCAGACUCCUACGGGAGGCAGCAGUAGGGAAUCUUCCGCAAUGGGCGAAAGCCUGACGGAGCAACGCCGCGUGAGUGAUGAAGGUCUUCGGAUCGUAAAACUCUGUUAUUAGGGAAGAACAAAUGUGUAAGUAACUAUGCACGUCUUGACGGUACCUAAUCAGAAAGCCACGGCUAACUACGUG